Molecule: unclassified non-coding RNA, 200 nt
Filed under: soil metagenome
Description: partial contains internal transcribed spacer 2 and large subunit ribosomal RNA
Source: RNAcentral
CAUCAAGCCUGGCUUGUCGUUGGAUAUUUUUGCGGCUGAAAUAUGCGGCAUAUCCGAAAAAUAAUGACGGUGUCGUGUUUGACCCUAAAUGCAACGAGCUUUUUUAGAGCACGCAUUGAAGUGGUUAAUCGAUUCUGGUCUCAAUUACACAUUUUUCUAAGGUUGACCUCGGAUCAGGUAGGAAUACCCGCUGAACUUAA